UACGUAGGAUGCAAGCGUUGUCCGGAUUUAUUGGGCGUAAAGCGAACGUAGGCGGCUUCUUAAGUUUGGUCUUAAAGACCGGGGCUCAACCCCGGGAGUGGACUGAAUACUGGGAGGCUAGAGGACGUCAGAGGAAAGUGGAAUUCCCAGUGUAGCGGUGAAAUGCGUAGAUAUUGGGAGGAACACCAGUGGCGAAAGCGACUUUCUGGGACGUUUCUGACGCUGAGGUUCGAAAGCUCGGGGAGCAAACAGGAUUAGAAACCCCAGUAGUCC
RNAcentral lists this ribosomal RNA (273 nucleotides) under uncultured bacterium. RNAcentral's name for it is "partial 16S ribosomal RNA". It matches the Rfam family "Bacterial small subunit ribosomal RNA", at positions 524 to 796 of the family's 1533-position model. The record is from RNAcentral.